RNA transcript from Alligator mississippiensis (American alligator), 8141 nucleotides. It is a transcript of the gene named zinc finger protein 420, with no coding region annotated. The transcript is spliced from 11 exons. Lineage: Eukaryota; Metazoa; Chordata; Crocodylia; Alligatoridae. The record is from RefSeq and is a predicted model, not a curated record.
GUUCCCGGUCUGGGCAGCCUCGACCGGGGUCCGUGCGGACGGGCGGGGGUCCCGCAGGGUCAGCCCCGGCUGUCCUCACCCCGGAGCCCCCGUGCUCACGUGGGUGCGGGGCGGCGGCCCUGGGGGGACCGGGAGGUCGCUCGGGCAGGGGCAGGGGCAGGGCACUGUGUGGGAUGCAGCGGCUGCCCCUCCCAGGGCGCUGUGGAGAGACUUGGUCUCACAGGACAGGGGCCAGAUUCUGCCCUCCCCGGUCCAAGCUACAGCGUCUGGCUGGAGCCCCCUGCCCUGCCCAACCCCAGCCCACACAGCAGGCCCCUGCCUGGCCCUGUGCUCCCAGGAUGGUGGGUCUCACGCUCCAGCUCAUGUAUGGCUAUGAGCUCCACAAAGACAACAGCACUGAAGGCUUCAUGCAGUUUGGCUAUGAUGGGGGAGACUUCAUCAGCUAUGACCUGGGAAUGUGUACCUGGGUAGGAGAAACAACACAGGCCCAGGUCACCCAGGGCAGCUGGAAUGAGGAUAAGGCCCUUCUUCAGCUUACAAGAUCCUACCUGGAGGAGACCUGCACCACGUGGCUGCAGAAGUACCUGCAGCACGGGGAGGCAGCACUGCAGAGCAGUGAGUCCUGGUGCCACCACCCAGGGCAGCAGUGACCGGGGCACCUCCCCAUGCCCAGGCAACGCCCGCUCCAUCCCUCUGUUUCCAGGGUGCCCAGUGCUGCUGUGGGACAUAGUGCCCCUGUCCCUGCCCUGGUCAGGCCUUCCAGCUGGGCAGAGCUGACCGGAUGUCCCUGCCUGGUGGCGUGUCUAAGAACCAGAGAUCAGCUGUAUGGGACCCUGUUCCUGCAGCCCUGAGCCCAGCACACCUGUAUCUCUCAUCCCUUGUGCUCCUGCCCCGAUGCCGUCUGCUCCUGCCUGAAAUGGGCCCUGGAGUCAGGUUGUGUGGCCCAGUGCAGGGCCCAGACCAGCCUCCUGGCAGGGGUGCUGAGGGUCCUGCAGAAACGGUCACUCUAACAUGUGUCUCCUCCCUCCCAGAGCGUCCUACGGCAUGGGAGAGCGACAGGCCGUCAUUGCAGGAUGGGUGCACCACCCUGUCCUGUUGGGUCCAUGGCUUCUACCCCAGGGAUGUGGCUGUCGUCUGGCUGAAGAAUGGGGAGGCACAGCACCAGGAGAUGAGCUGCUUGGGGGUCCUUCCCAGAGGAGAUGGGACCUCAGACCUGGGCCACCAUUGAGAUCUACCUGAGCAGCAACCACAACUACACCUGCAGUGUGGAGCAUGAGAACCUGGGUGCAGCCCUGAGUGGCCUGGGACAAGGGCAGGAUGGGUGAGUGUCCCCCACAUGAGGAGGGAGAAGAAACUUGGCACUUCAGGAGGGGGGCUGACUGACCCUGCUAAGUGGGGAAGGAACUGGGGUGGGUGGUCAGAGGAUGCAGAGGGUACUGGGCCCGUGCAGUGUUGGGGGCAGGUUGGAGGUUCCUGUUGCUCACAGACCUCUUGCAGAAUCCCACCUGAUGCUGAUUGUGGGCAUCCUUAAUGCUGUGGUGCUGCUUGUUGCUGUGAUGAGUGAUGAUUGCAGCUGUUUACUUCCUCAGGAGACAGGGAGCGGCAUACAAAGCAGCACCUGGUGUUCCUGGAGACAGGACACUGCCGACAGGCGCUGUGCACAAGUGUACAGAGAGCGAGAGGCCAGGCCCCCGGCCGGUGAGAUCCCUCCUGGGGAGACGUGGCUGCUGCACUGGAGCCUGUGGCAGCCGUGGGCCUUCCCUUCAUGGCGGGAGCUGGAGGGGCAGGAUCCAGGAGUUUUUCUUUUUCAGGACUUCGGGAAACCCAAGGGCCUAAGGAUGAAUUGCCUCAUAUCACAAAAGAGGAGCCCCCGCCCAACCCAGAUCCAGAUCCCCAGAACAGGGGAGACCUGGGAGCUGUCAGCACGCGGAGGGUCCCCAGGCGGGUACCCUGGACCAGGCCCUUCCCCAGGUGCCGGGACCCUGAGCAGAGUGGAUCAGCAGCCUCCCGAGGAAGGGUCUGUAAACCUGGAGCUGCAGAGACCCUCCCCAGGGAGACGGGGACAGAGCGGCCCCCUGACACCUGGGCUGCGCCAGCUGCAGGAGGGGCAGGGCAGGUUGACGAAGCAGGGGCAGAGCAUGGAGCUCCGGGAGGUGUUUGAGGACGUGGCAGUGUAUUUCACACGGGAGGAGUGGGAGCUGCUGGAAGAGGAGGACAAGGGGCUUUACCAGGACCAGAUGCUGAGGAACUACCAAGCCCUUGUUUCCCUGGGAUAUCGUGGCCUCGCCCCUGACUUAAUCUUCUGCAUCCAGCGAGGACAGGUGGAGCUCUGGGUCUGUGAUGAUGAGGACCGUGUCGAAAUCUUGAGGUCGGAGGACCUGCUGCCAGGACAUGCCUGGAUGUUGAGCAGAACUGAAGAGCAGGCUCCUGAGGAAGGGCCUGGAAAGCUGGAGUCACCAUGGGCUUCCCUGGGGAGUAUGGGUGAGGUGGCUUCACUGAGCCUAACGAAGGACCAGUGGCACGAGGGUCAGGGGAUGCCCCAAAAGCAGGAGAAUGUAGCAGUGAACAUGCUCCCAUCUCUAGUUGGGCCUUGGAGUGAAGAAGGGAAAGAAGCCAGAAACAGCCUGAGGUGCAGGGAUGAAUAUGUCAUGCUGAGACACCUGAAGAGGCAGAAAGAAAAGGUCCACUGGAGAGAGACACUGCAUGGAAACCAAGGCAGUGUGGGGGGCCUCAGAGGGAAGCAGGAGCUCACUGCCAAGCCCAGGGGGAGAGCCCAUUCCUGCCAUCAGCGCAGGAAAAGUUUUAGUUGCCCCUCGCACCUGGCUCUGCACAAGAUAAGGCACGCUGGGGAGAAGCCCCACGUAUGCGCCAUGUGUGGGAAGAGCUUCACCUACCUCUCGACCCUGGCUGCUCACCACCAGAUCCAUUCUGGACAGCUCCCCCACCGCUUCACCAAAAGGGGGAAGAGCUUUGUGCGCAGCUUGGAGAUGCUCAAAACCCAGGAUGUACACAGGAAGAAGCGUCAGUACGGCUGUGUCACGUGUGGUAAGACUUUCACCCAUUUCUUCUCCCUGGUUCAGCACCGGCGCAUGCACUUGGGAAGGAAGACACACUGCUACAUUGGGUGCAGGAAGAACUUCUUCAGCUGGCAAGGCCUGUCCCAGCACCAGUGUGUGUGGAGGAGGCAGCAGCCACACUGCUGCACAAAGUGUGGGAAGAGCUUCAGGCAGCCCUCCAGCCUGGCCAGGCACAGGUGCAUGCACACACGGGAGAAGCGUCAUCAUUGCUCUGUGUUUGGGAAGAGCUUCAUCUCUUCUUCCAAGCUGGUCCAACACCAGGUUAUCCACGCAGGGGAGAAGCCACAUCAGUGCUCUAUUUGUGGGAAGAGCUUCACCCAUUCCUCCACCCUGGCCCGGCACCAGCACGUCCACACAGGGGAGAAGGCAUAUCAGUGCUCUGAGUGUGGGAAGAGCUUCAGUUAUUCCUCCCACCUGGUCCAGCACCAGCACAUGCACACGGAGGAGAAGCCAUAUCAGUGCUCUGAGUGUGGCAAGAGCUUCAGUUAUUCUUCCUCCCUGACCAAGCACAAGCUCAUUCACACGGGAGAGAAGCCAUAUCAGUGCUCUGAGUGUGGGAAGAGCUUUACUUUCUCCUCCAGUCUGGCCCAGCACCGGCACAUCCACACAAGGGAGAAGCCACAUCAGUGCUCUGAGUGUGGGAAGAGCUUCACCCUUUCCUCCCACCUGGCCCAGCACCAGCGCAUCCACACAGGGGAGAAGCCAUAUCAGUGCUCUGAGUGUGGGAAGAAUUUCAGAAUCCUCUCCAGCCUGACCCAGCACCAGCGCAUCCACACGGGGGAGAAGCCAUAUAAGUGCUCCGAGUGUGGGAGGAGCUUCACCCAAUCCUGCUCCCUGGCCAAGCACCAGCGCAUCCACACAGGGGAGAAGCCAUAUCAGUGCUCUGUGUGUGGGAAGAGUGUCACCCAAUCCUCCUCCCUGGCCAGGCACCAGCGCAUCCACACAAGGGAGAAGACACAUCAGUGCUCUGAGUGUGGGAAGAGUUUCAGAAUCCUCUCCAGCCUGGCCAAGCACCAGCGCAUCCACACAGGGGAGAAGCCAUAUCAGUGCUCUGAGUGUGGGAAGAGCUUCACUCGCUCCUUUGGCCUGGCCCAGCACCAGCGCGUCCACACAAGGGAGAAGCCAUAUCAGUGCUCUGUGUGUGGGAAGAGCUUCACUCGCUCUUCUGGCCUGGCCCAGCACCAGCGCAUCCACACAACGGAGAAGCCAUAUCAGUGCUCUAUGUGUGGGAAGAGCUUCACUCGCUCCUCCGGCCUGGCCUACCACCAGCACAUUCACACAAAGGAGAAGCCACAUCAGUGCUCUGUGUGUGGGAAGAGCUUCAGCCAAUAUAUCAACCUGGCCCAGCACCAGCGCAUCCAUAGAAGGGAGAAGUCAUAUCAGUGCUCUGAGUGUGGGAAGAGCUUCAGUUAUUCCUCCGAGCUGGCCCUGCACCAGCGUGUCCACACAGGGGAGAAGCCACAUCAGUGCUCUGAGUGUGGGAAGAGCUUCAGUCAAUCUUCCAACCUGGCCGUGCACCAGCGGAUCCACACAGGGGAGAAGCCAUAUCAGUGCUCUGACUGUGGGAAGAGCUUCAGUUAUUCCUCCCACCUGGCCCGGCACCAGCACAUUCACACAGGGGAGAAGCCAUUUCAGUGCUCUGUGUGUGGGAAAAGCUUCACUCGCUUGUCUGGUCUGGCCCAGCACCAGCAUGUCCACACAGGGGAGAAGCCAAAUCAAUGCUCUGAGUGUGGGAAGAGUUUCAGCAACCUCUCCAGCCUGGCCCGGCACCGGCGCAUGCACAAAGGGGAGAAGGCACAUCAGUGCUCUUAAUGUAGGAAGAGCUUCACCUACUCCUGCAACCUGUGCUGAACACCAGUGCAUCUACACAGCAGGGCCCAGAGCUGGGUGAACCAGCACCACAGGGUGAGCAACCCUGGGCGAGCGACUGGCAACUGGCUCAACAGGUGCCCCAAGCCAGCCCUGUCUGCCCUGUUCCUGCCCUCACCCACCACAGCCUGCGAUUUGCACCACAGAGGUGACUGGGGGAGUCAGGAGCAGUCUGUGCAUGGUGCCAUCUCCAGGGCGGUGUCUCCUCCCUUGGGAGAGCAGGUUCUCCACACCGCUGCCAGCACCCCAGCCAGCAUGCCCGCAGUAUCCAGUGCUGGGUCAGGUAUUGGGGUCAGGAGAGGUGGUGUGUGCUGGGCCUGGGGUGGGGCAUUGGACACAGGCUGUCCAGCCAAGCAUGGGGGAAUCAGGCUGAGUUUGUCCCCUCUGGGGGUUGGUGGGUUGCAGCAGCAGCCUCUGCAGAGUUAGGGGCAGAGCUGGAGCUGGGGUCAUUACUGCUCAUGCUCUGUAGGGCGGGGGUCACCAGAUGGGCUGGCGGGGUCUGCACUGACCUGAUGCAGAUGCUGGUGUCUGUCCCACGUGGGAUCUGUGUUCUCCUAAGGCAGGUGUGAAGGUUGCCAUGGUAGGUAGGGGUGAUACCUCAUUGCCCUGCAGGGGGCAUCAUCACUGGGGGGCAAAACUCCACCUGGAGUAUGUAUGUGGCACACCUUCAGGAGGGAUUGGGGGGUCGACACCUGGGGCAGGUGUGAUAGAUGCUGUAAUGGGGCAGGGGGUGCUAUACCACCAUUGUGCAGCAGGGGGUGCUGUGGGGGUAUCUGUGCUCACCUGGGGCAGGUGUGCGGUGGGCUGUCAUGGGGUAGGGGGAUCAGUGGACCCCCACGUCUUCCUCUCUCUCCUUCACAGCAGCAGGAGGAUGAGCACUGUGGCCCUGCUGCUUUUCCUGUGGCAGGACCAGGUGCGGUGUCUGCUGCUGUGUCAGGCUUGUGGCAGUUUGGCUAAGAAGUGCAAUGAUUUCAUAGAUUUCAUAGACAUUAGGGCUGGAAGGGACCUCGGAAGAUCAUCAAGUUCAGCCCCCUGCCCAAAGGGCAGGACGUCAGCUGGGGUCAUAGGAUCCCAGUAAGAUAAGCAUCCAGUUUCGUCUUGAAGGUGUUCAAUGAAGGCGCUUGAACCAUCUCUGGUGGCAGGCUGUUCCAGACCUUGGGGGCUCGGACAGUAAAGAAAUUCUUCCUUAUGUCCAGCCUGAAACGAUCUUGUAGUAGUUUGUGACCAUUCGACCUCAUCAUCCCUUGGGGUGCUCUGGUGAACAAACGUUCCCCCAGAUACUGGUGGUCACCCCUGAUAAACUUGUAGGUGGCCAUCAGAUCACCCCUGAGCCUGCGCUUUUCCAGGCUAAAGAGCCCCAGGGCUCUCAGCCUGUCAUCGUAGGGUCUGCUUCCCUGACCUCUGAUCAUGCGCGUGGCUCUUCUCUGGACUCUCUCAAACUUCUCCACAUCCUUUUUGAAUUGUGGAGCCCAAAACUGGACGCAGUACUCCAGCUGCGGCCUCACUAAGCCCGAGUACAAGGGGAGAAUGACGUCCCGGGAUUUGCUUGAGAAGCAUCUAUGGAUGCAAGCCAGCGUUUUGGUCGCUUUACUAGCCGCAGCAUCGCAUUGCAGGCUCAUGUUCAUCUUGUGGUCAAUGAUGACCCCCAAGUCUCUUCCAUAGUGCUAGCCAACAUAGCACUGCCGAGCCUAUAAGGAUGCUGUGGGUUUUUCUUUCCAAGGUGGAGAACCUUGCAUUUAUCAGUGUUGAACACCAUCAGAUUCUUGUCCGCCCACUUGCUGAGCCUGUCCAGGUCAGCCUGGAUCAUCCGCCUGUCUUCUGGUGUGGAUGCUUUGCCCCAAAGUUUGGUGUCAUCGGCGAACUUGGCCAGUCCGCUUCUGACUCCAGUGUCCACAUCAUUAAUGAAGAUGUUGAACAGUAUGGGUCCAAGGACAGAGCCUUGGGGGACCCCACUGGUCACAGGACACCACGAUGAGUGACUUCCAUCAAUUACUACCCUCUGGGUCCGACCCCGGAGCCAAUUUUCCAGCCAGUGGAUCGUGGAGGACCCAAGGCGACAAUUGGCCAGUUUCUCCAAGAGGCGAUCAUGGGAAACCAGAUCGAAGGCUUUUUUGAAGUCAAGAUAUAUGACAUCAAUCUCUUGUCCCUUGUCCAGGUGAUAGGUCACCUGGUUGUAGAAGGAAAUGAAAUUGAUCAAGCAAGACCUACCCGCAACAAACCCGUGCUGGCUAUCCCUUAAGAUGUUGAUGUCGGCCAGUCCAUUAAGGAUGGCCUCUUUAAUAAACUUUUCUAAGAUCUUCCCCGGGAUAGAAGUCAGGCUAAUGGGCCUAUAGUUAGCCGGAUCCACUUUCCUCCCUUUCUUGAAGAUAGGCACCACAUUGGCCUUCUUCCAGUCUUCGGGCACUACACCAGAGCACCAAGAGUUUUCAAAGAUCCAUGCUAGAGGCUGGGCUAUGAUGCUCGCCAGCUCCUUGAGUACCCUGGGGUGAAGAUUGUCAGGGCCAGCUGACUUGAAGGUAUCCAGCUUCUCAAGAUGAUGUCUGGGCUGGUUUGGACAGGGCUGAUUCUGAUUCAGGCGGUGGUUGGACUGGAGGUGACCUCUGCAGGCCCACUCAGUCCCUCUCUUUUAGGAUUUCCAAGAUGAGAACUUCCCCUAGAGCCGUGGCUCCCAACCUUUUUAGACUGCGGACUGGCAAACCGCAGACCAAAAGCAGAACCUUUCAUAGAUGUAAUUGCAUAGACAUUAGGGCUGGAAAGGACCUCAUAAGACCAUUCCCUUCCUCAUCAGCUCUCACGUUUUCCAUUGCUUUCUUCACGGUGGCUGGCCAUGGAGCUGGUGCUCUUAUUCAACUCUCCACAAUGGCUCCCAGGUCUCUUUCCUGUGUGGUAACAGCUCACGUGGAGCCCAUCGUGGUGUCAGUCCCAUUUAUACAAUUCACAUUCAAAUGUGUUCUUGGCCCAUUCCACUCAGAUCAUGACCCCAUGGCCAAUAGAGCAGGGAAACUGAGUCAUUGGUGACCAGUGCAAAGCCCUGCACAUGGGAGGGAAUAAUUGCACUCACCAAUCCAGCCUGAGGAAUGUAUAGCCGGGUUGUAGCCCUGCAGAGAUGACUUGGGGGCAGCAGGGGCCAUGAGCUGUAUCCGAGCCGGCCGUGUGCUUUGGUGGUAAAAUAAAUCAGCAUCCUGAAAAGCAUGA